GACGAACGCUGGCGGCGUGCUUAACACAUGCAAGUCGAACGGAAAGGCCCUGCUUUUGUGGGGUGCUCGAGUGGCGAACGGGUGAGUAACACGUGAGUAACCUGUCCUUGACUUUGGGAUAACUUCAGGAAACUGGGGCUAAUACCGGCUAGGAGCUCCCGCUGCAUGGUGGGGGUUGGAAAGUUUCGGCGGUUGGGGAUUGACUCGCGGCUUAUCAGCUUGUUGGUGGGGUAGUGGCUUACCAAGGCUUUGACGGGUAGCCGGCCUGAGGGGGUGACCGGCCCCAUUGGGACUGCGUUACGACCCAGACUCCUAGGGGAGGCAGCAGUGGGAAGUAUUGCACAAUGGGCGGAAGCAUGAUGCGGGCACGCAGCGUCCGGUAUGACGGCCUUCGGGUUGUAACCCGCUUUCGUCUGAUCCGAAGCGAGCAUGACGGUACUGGGUAAAGAAGCACCGGCUAACUACGUG
Molecule: ribosomal RNA, 468 nt
Filed under: uncultured bacterium
Lineage: Bacteria
Description: partial 16S ribosomal RNA
Rfam family: Bacterial small subunit ribosomal RNA
Source: RNAcentral